Molecule: ribosomal RNA, 236 nt
Filed under: uncultured Lactobacillus sp.
Lineage: Bacteria; Bacillati; Bacillota; Bacilli; Lactobacillales; Lactobacillaceae
Description: partial 16S ribosomal RNA
Rfam family: Bacterial small subunit ribosomal RNA
Source: RNAcentral
CCCCCACUAGUCUGGGAUACCACUUGGAAACAGGUGCUAAUACCGGAUAAGAAAGCGGAUCGCAUGAUCAGCUUUUAAAAGGCGGCGUAAGCUGUCGCUAUGGGAUGGCCCCGCGGUGCAUUAGCUAGUUGGUAAGGUAAAGGCUUACCAAGGCGAUGAUGCAUAGCCGAGUUGAGAGACUGAUCGGCCACAUUGGGACUGAGACACGGCCCAAACUCCUACGGGAGGCAGCAGCG